CACCAGUUAUAGCUGUGGUGGGAAAUGACGCAUGUUGGAGUCAGAUAUCCAGAGAGCAGGUUCCUAUACUCGGCAGUAACGUGGCAUGUGGCCUUGCAUUUACAGAUUAUCAUAUAGUUGCAGACGGUUACGGCGGUAAGGGCUACCUUGUAGGGCGCGAGGACGAGGACAGGCUAAGCGACAUCAUCAAACAGGCUCAGAAGGAGACCCGGGAGGGCAAGGCUACACUUCUCAACGUUCUCAUAGGGAAGACCAACUUUAGAGAGGGCUCUAUCUCCGUAUAGAGCAGCUGUGAAUCCUAAAGCAGUGCAUUCUUCUUCCUGUAACUUUGGCUCUUCGUAGACUUUAUUGUCAGGCUCUAUGAGAGGUUUCAGAGAGUAAGAAGAAGCUGCUGGAUCCAGACCUAUGCUAAUCCUUUGUGCCCUUAAAGCCAUAAAUUACUUUACAGUACGUUCAUCUCGUGUGAGACUUCAUGUCAGCUACAACACACAUCUGCAAACACCAGUCAUGACUGAUUUCACUAUCAAACGGUGACUGUUUAUACACCUGUAAUCUUUGUUAUUUACUAUGUUAUUUACUACUACAGCUCCAGAUCUGCCAGCCUAGCAACUAAAGCUUUUGUUAUGCGUCAUGCAACUUUCAGGUUCAUGUGCUAUUUAAGAUAACUGCUGCAUUUAAAGAAGGGAAAGACUGAAAAGUAAGAAGCUCUUGCUUUAUGAAGGGAUUUUACCUCUUUCAGAGCUCUGGGUUAUAUUUUUGACCUUUAAACAGCCUAUUAUUAUAACCUUCUUGCAAAUAAACCAGUGACUAAAAAAUCAUUUGUAAGAGAGAGUGUUGAUUUAAGUCAUCAAACGUGACCAGUAUGCCUUUACUCCUGUUAUCAAAUGAACACGGAGACACAAAUCUUUACAGCUUUCAUUUUCUUUAACAGUUCAUGAUUUGGGAUAAAAAUGUGUAAAAUGAAAAAAAUAUUAUUUUGAAUGUUGAAGACUGACAAAUGUUAUGCCUUUAAAUGUUUGAUUGUGUCUUGGAAUACAUCGAUACGUGUAGAUUGACAAUGUGUCUGCUGAUUCAGUUAUGUAUUUGAAUGAUAUCUAAUACUGACUUGUAUGCAUUGAUGUGGGCUAUGAUUUCAUAUAUGCCUAUACACAAUAUGUAUUGCACUAUAAUUAUAACUUAUAUACUCACCAGGUGAACAUGUGUGGAUCAUCUCACUCCAACAUAUAUAUAUUGUUGUUUUAUUUGGUACUUUGAGGGAGGUAUGUCAAAUUUUUGAUCAUGACGAUGUUAAUUUGGGUUUAUUGACAAAUAAAAGAAAGAUCAUGAGUGGGCCUUUGAA
Molecule: non-coding RNA, 1339 nt
Organism: Epinephelus lanceolatus (giant grouper)
Lineage: Eukaryota; Metazoa; Chordata; Actinopteri; Perciformes; Serranidae
Source: RefSeq, a predicted model, not a curated record